Small nucleolar RNA from Dama dama (fallow deer), 111 nucleotides. Lineage: Eukaryota; Metazoa; Chordata; Mammalia; Artiodactyla; Cervidae. The record is from RefSeq and is a predicted model, not a curated record.
GUGAAAAAGUGAGCACAAGAACAGAUGAAUGAUUUGCUAAAGUAAUUGUGGUGAUAGAAAUGUAUUAGCCUCGGAUGCUACCGAGGUGGCUCAUUCUAUCCCAGUACAUUG